RNAcentral lists this long non-coding RNA (1262 nucleotides) under Homo sapiens (human). RNAcentral's name for it is "HSALNT0011624". Lineage: Eukaryota; Metazoa; Chordata; Mammalia; Primates; Hominidae. The record is from RNAcentral.
GAGAAGCUGAGAGGCAGAAAGUAUAUGCAUCAGGUAAACAGCCCUGGGACAAAGAACAGACUACGGGUAUUGCCUUCUUAAUCAACAAUAAAGUAUUAGUUGGCUUCCAGGCAGACACCACUGACUUUCAAGAGAAAGGCACGGGAGUAAGGAAGUAAAGAAUUCAGGGCAAACGUCGAGCUUUCCUCUGGGCUCCAAUGUAAAAGAAGUGGAUAGCGGCUGACUAGUGUACAUAUUAUGUAUGCAGACUUUGAAGGAAUCCCCCUUGUUUUUAGCUGUUCUUCCAUUGCUCCUGGAGACUCUGAGCUCAGAGAUUUUCUAGGCUCUGAUGGGCAGAGUGGCUCGUUUCCUCCCUGAAGUUUCCUUCAUGCCACAUUCUGGAUUACAACCUCCUCCAAAGAGUGUCAUCUGUCAAUAUAAUGUCAUCUCUUGAUUUCUCUGUUUUCUUUUCUUCACUAUAAUAGGUGACAUCUGAUUGUAUAAAGGAUAUUUAUUUAUUUGAGAUUUUGUCUCAGAAGCGAGUCCAGAAAGAAAGGAGCUCUGCCUGGGGUUUCCUUUUCUGCCUGUGUGGGUGAUGGUGCUGCUUGAAAAUACAACAAACUGUCUUCAGAAUACUUUUAUGUGUUGUUGAAAGAAAGCACUGCAGCUAAUAUAGCUACAAAGGAGAAACAGUUAUUCUUAAAUGUCAUCUAUUUGCUGGACCUGAACAGGUUAGAAAAAUGAAAAAUACUGAUACAGCAGACGAAUUCUGGAACUAACACUUCCACAAAUCAUUGAUAAUCCAUUUUCCAACUUCUUCAAAUUCCAGACCAUCAACAAGCUAUUCAAAACAAUAAAUGUUAAUAGUUUUGGUGGAGUUAAGCAGCAGAAGUUAAAAGCAUUGUGGAAGACAGUAUGGUGAUUCCUCAAGGAUCUAGAAGCGGAAAUACCAUUUGACCCAGCAAUCCCAUUAUUGGGUAUGUACCCAAAGGAUUAUAAAUCAUUCUACUAUAAAGACACAUGCACACAUAUGCUUAUUGCAGCACUAUUUACAAUAGCAAAGACUUGGAACUAACCCAAAUGUCCAUCAAUGAUAGACUGGAUAAAGAAAAUGUGGUACAUAUACACCAUGUAAUACUAUGCAGCCAUAAAAAGGAAUGAGAUCAUUCCCUUUGCAGCGACAUGGAUGAAGCUGAAAGACAUCAUCCUCAGCAAACUAACACCAGAACAGAAAACCAAACACCACAUAUUCUCAUUUAUAAGUGGGAGUUGAACAUUGAGAA